AAAAGCGGAGGAAAAGAAACCAACAGGGAUUGCCCCAGUAACGGCGAGUGAAGCGGCAAGAGCUCAAAUUUGAAAGCUGGCUCCUUCGGGGUCCGCAUUGUAAUUUGCAGAGGAUGCUUCGGGAGCGGUCCCCAUCUAAGUGCCCUGGAACGGGACGUCAUAGAGGGUGAGAAUCCCGUAUGGGAUGGGGUGUCCGCGCCCGUGUGAAGCUCCUUCGACGAGUCGAGUUGUUUGGGAAUGCAGCUCUAAAUGGGUGGUAAAUUUCAUCUAAAGCUAAAUAUUGGCCGGAGACCGAUAGCGCACAAGUAGAGUGAUCGAAAGAUGAAAAGCACUUUGAAAAGAGAGUUAAAAAGCACGUGAAAUUGUUGAAAGGGAAGCGCUUGCGACCAGACUCGCUCGCGGGGUUCAGCCGGCAUUCGUGCCGGUGUAUUUCCCCGCGGGCGGGCCAGCGUCGGUUUGGGCGGUCGGUCAAAGGCCCUCGGAAGGUAACGCCCCUAGGGGCGUCUUAUAGCCGAGGGUGCAAUGCGACCUGCCUAGACCGAGGAACGCGCUUCGGCUCGGACGCUGGCAUAAUGGUCGUAAGCGACCCGUCUUAACCAC
Molecule: ribosomal RNA, 600 nt
Filed under: Penicillium solitum
Lineage: Eukaryota; Fungi; Ascomycota; Eurotiomycetes; Eurotiales; Aspergillaceae
Description: partial 28S ribosomal RNA
Rfam family: Eukaryotic large subunit ribosomal RNA
Source: RNAcentral